RNAcentral lists this small nucleolar RNA (140 nucleotides) under Nannospalax galili (Upper Galilee mountains blind mole rat). Lineage: Eukaryota; Metazoa; Chordata; Mammalia; Rodentia; Spalacidae. The record is from RNAcentral.
CAGGCCAGCUGGGGCUACAGGGAGACCCUGUCUCAAAAAGACCAAAAAAAUGUAGGUAGUGUGCCACACGGGGGGCAGGUUUUCGCUAACACUCCACUCUGGCCUGUGAGUGGAGUUUGAUAGUAACUUUUGCUACAUGU